AUUGAACGCUGGCGGCAGGCCUAACACAUGCAAGUCGAGCGGAUGAAGGGAGCUUGCUCCUGGAUUCAGUGGCGGACGGGUGUGUAAUGCCUAGGAAUCUGCCUGGUAGUGGGGGAUAACGUCCGGAAACGGGCGCUAAUAACGCAUACGUCCUGAGGGAGAAUGUGGGGGAUCUUCGGAACUCACGCUAUCAGAUGAGCCUAGGUCGGUUUAGCUAGUUGGUGGGGUAAAGGCCUACCAAGGCGACGAUCCGUAACUGGUCUGAGAGGAUGAUCAGUCACACUGGAACUGAGACACGGUCCAGACUCCUACGGUAGGCAGCAGUGGGGAAUAUUGGACAAAGGGCGAAAGCCUGAUCCAGCCAUGCCGCGUGUGUGAAGAAGGUCUUCCGAUUGUAAAGCACUGUAAGUUGGGAGGAAGGGCAGUAAGUUAAUACCUUGCUGUUUUGACGUUACCAACAGAAUAAGCACCGGCUAACUUCGUG
Molecule: ribosomal RNA, 484 nt
Filed under: uncultured bacterium
Lineage: Bacteria
Description: partial 16S ribosomal RNA
Rfam family: Bacterial small subunit ribosomal RNA
Source: RNAcentral